This 73-nucleotide non-coding RNA is filed under the name Eutreptiella gymnastica. The record is from RNAcentral. Lineage: Eukaryota; Euglenozoa; Euglenophyceae; Eutreptiales; Eutreptiaceae.
AACCACAGAUUCGGCUUUGACAGGGAAGGCUGAAAAGGGUGCGCAAGCGCACGCGCGCUUAGGGGCAACCGAG